Long non-coding RNA from Callithrix jacchus (white-tufted-ear marmoset), 2217 nucleotides. NCBI's taxonomy places the organism in Eukaryota, Metazoa, Chordata, Mammalia, Primates, Cebidae. The record is from Ensembl.
AUGGCAGCCCUAGCAAACUGCACCCAGGAACAGUCCAGGCACACAGGCACAGGCACAGGUGCACAGGCACACAGGCACAGGCACACAGGCACAGGCACACACACACAGACACAGGCACACAGGCACACAGGCACACAGGCACAGGCACAGGCACAGACACAGGCACAGGCACACAGGCACACACACACAGACACAGGCACACAGGCACAGGCACACAGGCACAGGCACACAGACACAGGCACACAGGCACAGGCACACAGGCACAGGCACACAGGCACAGACACAGGUACAUACACAGGCACAGGCACAGACACAGGCACAGACACAGGCACACAGGCACAGGCACAGACACAGACACACAGGCACAGACACAGGCACAGGCACACAGGCACAGGCACACAGGCACAGACACAGGCACAGACACAGGCACAGGCACAGGCACACAGGCACAGGCACACAGGCACAGGCACACAGGCACAGGCACAGGCACAGACACAGGCACACAGGCACAGGCACAGGCACACAGGCACAGGCACACAGGCACAGGCACACAGGCACAGGCACACAGGCACAGACACAGGCACAGACACAGGCACACAGGCACACAGGCACAGGCACACAGGCACAGACACAGGCACAGACACAGGCACACAGGCACACAGGCACAGACACACAGGCACAGACACAGGCACAGACACAGGCACAGACACAGGCACACAGGCACAGGCACAGGCACACAGGCACAGGCACACAGGCACAGGCACACAGGCACAGACACAGGCACAGACACAGGCACACAGGCACAGGCACAGGCACACAGGCACAGGCACACAGGCACAGGCACACAGGCACAGACACAGGCACAGACACAGGCACACAGGCACACAGGCACAGGCACACAGGCACAGACACAGGCACACAGGCACAGGCACACAGACACAGACACAGGCACAGACACAGGCACACAGGCACAGACACAGGCACAGGCACACAGGCACAGACACACAGGCACAGGCACACAGACACAGACACAGGCACAGACACAGGCACACAGGCACAGACACAGGCACAGGCACACAGGCACAGACACAGGCACAGACACAGGCACACAGGCACAGACACAGGCACAGGCACACAGGCACAGACACACAGGCACAGACACACAGACACAGACACAGGCACAGACACAGGCACAGGCACAGGCACAGACACAGGCACAGGCACAGACACAGGUACAGACACAGGCACAGGCACAGGCACAGACAGGCACACAGGCACAGACACAGGCACAGGCACAGACACAGGUACAGACACAGGCACAGGCACACAGGCACAGACACAGGCACAGACACAGGUACAGACACAGACACAGGCACAGGCACAGACACAGGCACAGACACAGACACAGACACAGGCACAGACACAGACACAGGCACAGACACAGGCACACAGGCACAGGCACACAGGCACAGACACAGGCACAGACACAGGUACAGACACAGACACAGGCACAGGCACAGACACAGGCACAGACACAGACACAGACACAGGCACAGACACAGACACAGGCACAGGCACAGACACAGGCACAGACACAGGUACAGACACAGACACAGGCACACAGGCACAGACACAGGCACAGACACAGGCACAGGCACAGACACAGGCACAGGCACAGACACAGGUACAGACACAGACACAGGCACACAGGCACAGGCACAGACACAGACACAGGCACACAGGCACAGACACAGGCACAGACACAGGCACAGGCACAGACACAGGCACAGGCACAGACACAGGCACAGACACAGGCACAGGCACAGGCACAGACACAGGUACAGACACAGACACAGGCACACAGGCACAGGCACAGGCACAGACACAGGCACACAGGCACAGACACAGGCACAGACACAGGCACAGACACAGGUACAGACACAGACACAGGCACACAGGCACAGACACAGGCACAGACACAGGCACAGGCACAGACACAGGCACAGGCACAGACACAGGCACAGGCACAGACACAGGUACAGACACAGACACAGGCACACAGGCACAGGCACAGGCACAGACACAGGCACAGACACAGGCACAGGCACAGGCACAGACACAGGCACAGGCACAGACACAGGUACAGACACAGACACAGGCACAGACACAGGCACAGACACAGGCACACAGGAGAACAAAACAUACAGGUGGUCGUAG